AGUGAACGCUGGCGGUAGGCCUAACACAUGCAAGUCGAACGGCAGCACAGUAAGAGCUUGCUCUUACGGGUGGCGAGUGGCGGACGGGUGAGGAAUACAUCGGAAUCUACUUUUUCGUGGGGGAUAACGUAGGGAAACUUACGCUAAUACAGCAUACGACCUACGGGUGAAAGCAGGGGAUCUUCGGACCUUGCGCGAUUGAAUGCGCCGAUGUCGGAUUAGCUAGUUGGCGGGGUAAAGGCCCACCAAGGCGACGAUCCGUAGCUGGUCUGAGAGGAGGAUCAGCCACACUGGAGCUGAGACACGGUCCAGACUCCUACGGGAGGCAGCAGUGUGGAAUAUUGGACAAAGGGCGCAAGCCUUAUCCAGCCAUACCGCGUGGGUGAAGAAGGCCUUCGGGUUGUAAAGCCCUUUUGUUGGGAAAGAAAAGCAGCAGGUUAAUACCCCGCUGUUCUGACGGUACCCAAAGAAUAAGCACCGGCUAACUUCGUG
This 492-nucleotide ribosomal RNA is filed under the name uncultured bacterium. RNAcentral describes it as "partial 16S ribosomal RNA". It matches the Rfam family "Bacterial small subunit ribosomal RNA", at positions 29 to 507 of the family's 1533-position model. The record is from RNAcentral.